Molecule: non-coding RNA, 46 nt
Filed under: Schistosoma margrebowiei
Lineage: Eukaryota; Metazoa; Platyhelminthes; Trematoda; Strigeidida; Schistosomatidae
Source: RNAcentral
GCACCACUGAGGAGUCUCAUACUAGGACUAAACGGCUGUCUGGUAC